UGGGAUAGCUCAGUUAGUAGAGCAUGAGACUAUUAACCUCAGGGUCGUGCGUUUGAGCCCCACAUUGGGCAAAA
Molecule: transfer RNA, 74 nt
Filed under: Podarcis lilfordi (Lilford's wall lizard)
Lineage: Eukaryota; Metazoa; Chordata; Lepidosauria; Squamata; Lacertidae
Description: tRNA.Asn
Source: RNAcentral